This is a long non-coding RNA of Esox lucius (northern pike), 2285 nucleotides long. RefSeq lists it as uncharacterized. NCBI's taxonomy places the organism in Eukaryota, Metazoa, Chordata, Actinopteri, Esociformes, Esocidae. The transcript is spliced from 3 exons. The record is from RefSeq and is a predicted model, not a curated record.
UGUGAAUUUUCCUAAAGUACCUGUAUGUGCCGAAGUUGGCUACCGCUGAACGUAUACGUCUCGCCCCCUCAUUUCGGAAGACAGACAUACCUGCUGAUGCUACAACACAUCUAAAUAUGCUCUUACGGGCCCCAGCAUCCUCACUGUCAACAAUCUUUAUUGUUAAGAGUGUAUAUCCUGCUCUCUGCUGCUUUGGAGGCUUUCUAGAGGAUGCUGGUAUAAUUGCGUUCCCAGGCCUUGAUCGACUAAACAUUUGGUAAAUCCUGGUGCCAUUACUUCCCCGGGGAAACAGAGCACACAUACACGGCGGUCCAGGUGACGUAAAAGAAAACGGGACUCAUCAGACCAGACGACCUUCCACUGCUUCAAGCUCCAGCUCUGACGCUUGCAUGCCCACUGUAGGUGCUUUCAACAAUGGACAUGGGUCAGCAUGGGCACUCCGUCUACGCAGCAGGGUGUGAUGCACUGUGUGUUGACACACUCCUCCAAUAUCAAUCAUUGCAAUUUUCUGUGACUUGUGCCACAGAAGACCUUCUGUUGAUUUGGAUCAGAUGGGAUAGCCUUCAUUGCCCUUGUGAAAAACCCCCUUUCGCUGGUUUGUCCCUCCUUGGACAACGGUCAAGCCUUGUCAUUUCAGAGAUUCUCUGACCCAGUCAUCUAGCCAUAACAAUUCGCUCAGGUCUUUACUCCUGCCCAUUUCUCUGCAUCCAACACGUUGAUUAGGAAAACUGACAGUUUGCUUACCAUUUUAUCUCCUCAGACCUUGACAUGUGCCCUUAUUCGUUAUUAGCUUCACCUCUGAAUGGUCAAAGUUUUGCCUCAUCAGUGUACUGAUGAAAAUAUAUUAGAGGAAAAUCUAGGUGAAGGAAGUGGUUGAUUGAAGCAGUUUGGAUUAUAUAAAAAGCUGUACCUCGUCUGCAUCAGAACCAUAAUGCACAGCUCUUCUGCUUUGUCAUCUAACCAUUCAAAACAAAAGCAAAUGUAUUCUUUUUUUACAUAUGUAAUUUGUUCCAGAAAGCAGGAGCAAUGGUCAAUAACCAAAUCUUUUGAGACCAGUGUAGCUCUGCAAAAGUACUCUGCUUUCCACAAGAGAAUAGAUUGCCAACUAGCUACAUAGUGCAGCUUUAACAUGUCAGUAAGCUAAGUUUCAUUAUGUGGUAGCAGUUCAUACAAACUUUGGAUAUGAUUAUAUUAAAAUAUAGGAAAACAGUAUAUUUAUUCUUAUUCUGUUACAUUUCAUUGGCAGGGGAUGGGGAGUAUCUUAGGAUCUAAAUAAAUAUGCAGUGAGCAAAGCCCAUUUAAAACUCUAGCCCUACUUAGCUUUUUUAAUUUCCAUUGGACAAUUACACACAUUCACCAGAAUGACUCAGGGUCAAAUAAUCUGAGACAUUAAAUAUUGCUGUCCAACAAUGAUUCCUGACCAAAUUUACUAAGCAUGAGCAAUUAUUAUAAAAACAAUCGAUUGAUUGCCCUAUGAAUUUACCAAAGUGCCUCCACUAAGUAUUUACAUGGGGUGUGAAUACAUGCUUGUUUAUUAAUUUGGAGAAUGUUCUUUCACUGUAGGGGAACUUUUAAUUGAAUGCCUUUUAUUUUAAAAUUAAAACCUGAAUGGCUAGCAUUGUGAGUAAUGAGACUGCAACCUGACUUUCUCUGAAGCUGUUAUGGCUGUGAGAAAUUUGAAGGGAAGCAUGGAAUAUGGGCCUACAGUUGGUGACACUGAGGCUCUUUAAUUUGGAAACUUUAAAGUGGACGGAAAGUUUGCUACAGAAUGAUUCUUGCAUGGGUGCAAAGUAUUUACAUGUGACACAUUUUCUGUCAGCUCUUUCUGGGCAUUGUUGUUGAGAAUAAUUUUUUAGAUCAUUAGUGACUAAUAAUCUGCUUGUGUUUUAAUGGUGUGAGAACCAUUAUUGAAGUUGACAUUUGAUUUGUUUGUCCUGUACCAUGACUUGUUUGCUCAAUAUUUCUUUCAUUGCAGCACAAUUCACAACUUUGACAUUCACCACCAGAAAUUAUAUUUUUUAAGAGAAUGACAAUGUGUUUGUUCUUACAAUAUUUUCCUGUUCAUUUACAGCUUUAAACUGGCAACUGUGCUGCCAGACUUUUUACCAUAUUUUUACCGGGUUUUAAGUACAUAAUUGUAAAUAAACAGUAAAUAAACAUUAAUGAAUCUUCAUCCUUUGUAUAUCAGUAGCUAACAUCCUAUUUUAGCGGUGAUUUGCCAUCUACUAAGGUGUUUCAUCCAUGUUUUAACAGGACUCUUCACUGUUUUUGCUGUUCAAUACCAU